RNAcentral lists this long non-coding RNA (983 nucleotides) under Mus spicilegus (steppe mouse). RNAcentral describes it as "lncRNA (ENSMSIG00000023053.1)". The record is from RNAcentral. Lineage: Eukaryota; Metazoa; Chordata; Mammalia; Rodentia; Muridae.
GCAGGAGUCUUUAGAACAUCUGUUUUAUGGAGGAUUCUAAGGCUAUAGUGUUCAUCAAGUAGGUACAACAGAAGACUAGGAAUCAACACCAAGUUUUGCACUGCGCUAACUGCCUGAAAUACUUUGUGGCUUCAUGAGAGACAUACUUCUUCAGAAACCAAUCACAGGAAGCAGAGGGAAGAGAGACCAAGCAGCAUCAGAAAGCAGGCAUGGAGUGGCUUUGCCACUGCCAUCUUUAGAAGACAGACCUUGCCUCUCAGAGCAGACUCGGCUCUCUGAGAUCCUUUCCAGACUGAGGUUGCAUUCCCCCAACCCCCAGAAGACUCCUUGCCUCUCUUUGGAUUCUCGUCCUGACUUAAUGGAUUAACCUAAGCUCCAGGAUUUAAUCAAGGAAAGGAGGCCAGCAGGAAAAAGACAAUCAGCUCGGCAGGUGAUGGAGCCCAAAGUCAUUUGCAUUAGAGAGGUUUGGUCCAAGCUCUUUCAGGAGGGAGAUGAAAAUGAGGUGCUUUGUUAGUUCAGGAGCGGUCCCCUUCCAACAGCAAGCUUGAAGGAAGCUCCUUUGAGGAUUUAUUCUGUUAAGCCAUCAAUAUUUCGAAUCAUCUGUGCUCAUGGACUAUUGGGAAAACCUUAACUGACCAGAAAGAGGCUGUGGAUAUUGUCUCAGAGCAUCUUGAACCCUUCCGAGAUGACUGGUCUUAACCUUGCCUCCACCCCGCCCCCUGCAGACUCCAGCUUUUAUGAGACAGGGCCGGUCUGUUGCUAGAGGUCAGGCAGCACCAGACUAUAAAGUUUUAGUAAUUUCAGAAUCUCACUAGAGCACCUCCUCCUAAGAUUUUGACCAUGGACACCUGGGUGACCUCUUCAAUUGUGCACUUGGGAGCUUUUUGCCUGUAAUUUAAGCAAACGGAGAAACAAAGGUCCCCUGCUGCAUUGCAAAAAUUGAAAUGGACAAAGAACUGUUGAUUGUAAUUCUUCAACCUGGG